This 800-nucleotide ribosomal RNA is filed under the name Firmicutes bacterium Bt aa 02. Its description in RNAcentral is "bacterial SSU rRNA". It matches the Rfam family "Bacterial small subunit ribosomal RNA", at positions 70 to 833 of the family's 1533-position model. Lineage: Bacteria; Bacillati; Bacillota. The record is from RNAcentral.
GAGUAAUUUUAACGGAAUACCUUCGGGUAGGAAGAUAAAAGCGCGAGCGUUCGGAUGGGUGAGUAACACGUGGGCAACCUACCCUUUAGCUUGGGAUACCACUUGGAAACAGGUGCUAAUACCAAAUAAGAAGCAAGAGCGCAUGCUCAAGCUAUGAAAGGCGGCUUUCGAGCUGUCACUAAAGGAUGGGCCCGCGGUGCAUUAGCUAGUUGGUAAGGUAACGGCUUACCAAGGCAAUGAUGCAUAGCCGAGUUGAGAGACUGAUCGGCCACAUUGGGACUGAGACACGGCCCAAACUCCUACGGGAGGCAGCAGUAGGGAAUCUUCCACAAUGGACGCAAGUCUGAUGGAGCAACGCGCGUGAGUGAAGAAGGUUUUCGGAUCGUAAAGCUCUGUUGUUGGUGAAGAAGGAUAGGGRUAGUAACUGAUUCUUAUUUGACGGUAAUCAACCAGAAAGUCACGGCUAACUACGUGCCAGCAGCCGCGGUAAUACGUAGGUGGCAAGCGUUGUCCGGAUUUAUUGGGCGUAAAGCGAACGCAGGCGGGAGAACAAGUCAGCUGUGAAAGCCCUCGGCUUAACCSGGGAAGUGCAGCUGAAACUGUUUUUCUUGAGUGCAGAAGAGGAGAGUGGAACUCCAUGUGUAGCGGUGGAAUGCGUAGAUAUAUGGAAGAACACCAGUGGCGAAGGCGGCUCUCUGGUCUGUAACUGACGCUGAGGUUCGAAAGCAUGGGUAGCGAACAGGAUUAGAUACCUGGGUAGUCCAUGCCGUAAACGAUGAGUGCUAAGUGUUGGGAGGUUU